GAUGAACGCUGGCGGCGUGCCUAAUACAUGCAAGUCGAGCGAACAGAUGAGGAGCUUGCUCCUCUGACGUUAGCGGCGGACGGGUGAGUAACACGUGGAUAACCUACCUAUAAGACUGGGAUAACUUCGGGAAACCGGAGCUAAUACCGGAUAAUAUAUUGAACCGCAUGGUUCAAUAGUGAAAGACGGUUUUGCUGUCACUUAUAGAUGGAUCCGCGCCGCAUUAGCUAGUUGGUAAGGUAACGGCUUACCAAGGGCACGAUGCGUAACCGACCUGAGAGGGUGCUCGUCCACACUGGAACUGAGACACGGUCCAGACUCCUACGGGAGGCAGCAGUAGGGAAUCUUCCGCAGUGGGCGAAAGCCUGACGGAGCAACGCCGCGUGAGUAAUGAAGGUCUUCGGAUCGUAAAACUCUGUUAUUAGGGAAGAACAAAUGUGUAAGUAACUAUGCACGUCUUGACGGUACCUAAUCAGAAAGCCACGGCUAACUACGUG
RNAcentral lists this ribosomal RNA (497 nucleotides) under uncultured bacterium. RNAcentral describes it as "partial 16S ribosomal RNA". It matches the Rfam family "Bacterial small subunit ribosomal RNA", at positions 28 to 507 of the family's 1533-position model. The record is from RNAcentral.